UUUUGGCAGGACAGAGUAAGCAGAU
RNAcentral lists this non-coding RNA (25 nucleotides) under Rattus norvegicus (Norway rat). Lineage: Eukaryota; Metazoa; Chordata; Mammalia; Rodentia; Muridae. The record is from RNAcentral.